Molecule: unclassified non-coding RNA, 488 nt
Filed under: Genista tinctoria
Lineage: Eukaryota; Viridiplantae; Streptophyta; Magnoliopsida; Fabales; Fabaceae
Description: partial external transcribed spacer
Source: RNAcentral
AAGUAGAGCCAUGGUCAUCCGGUAGCGUUGAGUCUUGCUACGUGGGGGCGUGUGAGUGGUGUUCGGGUUUUCUUUGCUGUCUGGCUCCAUGGUCGUGGCCAUCGAACAGUCAGCAUGCAACCCUUCUCAGUUUUCUUCGCCUUGUGUCGUUGCGGCCUCGGCGUUCGCUCGUGGUUCUUGUGUUGCCUACCCGUUUAGCGGUAUUCAUAUGCCUCUUAAGACACGUUCCAUCAGGACCCCUUCUAGGGGCUGCUGGGGAGUUCGGAAGUGAUGCAUGUUUUGCGUUAGCUAUGCAUUGUAAUGGCUUGCGUCCUCACAUGUGUCUAUUGUUCCCUCGGAUGCGGUGCAUGCGGUGAACGUGGGUGAUGAUUGAGCCCCGUUGAGCCCCUUCGAUUUAUCGGUUGCCUUGAAUGACAUUUUGCCGUAGUGCGGGUGUUGCUUUUCCAUUCGUGGUGGCAACACUCGCACGUCGAGCAGAAUUGUUGAUG